Long non-coding RNA from Triticum dicoccoides, 719 nucleotides. RefSeq lists it as uncharacterized. Lineage: Eukaryota; Viridiplantae; Streptophyta; Magnoliopsida; Poales; Poaceae. The record is from RefSeq and is a predicted model, not a curated record. The transcript has 3 exons.
UAGCUGGAGUGGAACGAUCCAAUUUCAACCUUAAUCUGUGGUCAAAGGUGGCAAGCAUUGACGGGGCGGUGACAUGGACACAUCAAAGGGUCAUUGAACUCGGAAAAAUUCUUGCGCCUGAAGCAGUGUCGGUUUGUAUGGCUGGGGGUAUUGGAGCGCAUGCAGUUGGCUGUGCGGUAGAUGCGGAUGUGAUUUUCAUCGAUGUGUAUCCUAGCAUCUACAUGAUCCAUCUCAAGUCCAUGAAGAUCAAGGAGGUGUCGAAGGAACGGAUCGGCAGACAAUAUGUUUUUCCUUACACAAGUUUCUACGUUCCAGGAAUUACCAUUCGUGGUGCAAAUGAUCAAGUUGAACUGCUGAACAACAGUUGAGAUGAUUGUGCUGUUACAUCUGCUGAUACACUUUGGUUGUUGAAGAGGUUUCCGCCGAGCGGUGAAUGUGGCUGUUAAUAAACUACUAUUCCUUGAGAAAUGUGUCACUCACUUGCAAAACGUGAGGAAAUUUGUGGCUUUAAUAAUGCUCUGUAGCACAUUCGUGCUGAACCAAUAUGUUAGGUUUUUCUUCAGAGAUUCCCAUGGCUUUGUGAGCUCUAUGAUCCCCCGCUAAAAAUUGUCAUAGUUUGUUCUUUCCUUUUUUGUGGUACCAUCGCAAUGUUGUAUAAUGCGCAAAGUUGAACUCUGCUUGUGUGAUGGCAUGGCAAUAUGACAGCUGCUAUACCUGGG